RNAcentral lists this ribosomal RNA (1674 nucleotides) under Synchiropus splendidus (mandarinfish). RNAcentral's name for it is "16S ribosomal RNA". It matches the Rfam family "Bacterial large subunit ribosomal RNA". Lineage: Eukaryota; Metazoa; Chordata; Actinopteri; Syngnathiformes; Callionymidae. The record is from RNAcentral.
GGUCCAGCAACUAGCGAAUAAUAGCAGUUUUAAAAUCUACAUAUUAAUAACCUAUAAAAAAUUAAAACAACCUAAACAAACCAUUUUUCCGCCUUAGUAUGGGAGACAGAAAAGGCCUUAUCAGCAAUAGAAAAAGUACCGCAAGGGAAAGUUGAAAGAGAACUGAAACAAAUAAGCAACACAUAAAAAAGCAGAGAUUUAACCUCGUACCUUUUGCAUCAUGUUUUAGCAAGCGUAAAUUAAGCAAAAAGACUUGUAGUUUGAUUACCCGAAACCAAGUGAGCUACUCCGAGACAACCUUAUUGAAGGGUUAACCCGUCUCUGUGGCAAAAGAGUGGGAAGAUCUCCGAGUAGAAGUGAAAGACCUAUCGAACUUGGUUAUAGCUGGUUGCCUGAGAAAUGAAUAGUAGUUCAGCACUAUUAUUUCUUAAUUCGACCUAUAAUAAAACCCUCAGAUUUAGAGAAAUAAUAGCAGUUAAUUUAAAGGGGUACAGCCCUUUAAAUACAGAAUACAAUCUACCAAAUGGAUAAAGAUCAUAUAUUUUAAAAGUACUAUACCCAGGUGGGCCUAAGAGCAGCCAUCCUCUAAGAAAGCGUUAAAGCUCCUGUAUACAAAACACUUAUUAUACCGAAAAUAUAGUCUUAAUCCUCUAAACCUAUCAGGCUUUAUUAUUUAAUAUAAUAAUAAUUAUGCUAAUAUGAGUAAUAAGGGGAAGUCCCCCUCCUUGCACAAGUGUACCUCGGAACGAACCAACACCGACCAUUAAACGCCUCCAAAUUGAGGACAAUAGACAAAGCAUAAACAACUAGAAAUACGUCUAGACCUAAGCGUUAACCCCACACUGGUGUGCCCACAAGGAAAGACUAAAAGGAAGAGAAGGAACUCGGCAAAUCCACUUUAAGCCUCGCCUGUUUACCAAAAACAUCGCCUCUUGUGAUAAUAAAAAUAAGAGGUCCCGCCUGCCCGGUGACAUAAUGUUUAACGGCCGCGGUAUUUUAACCGUGCAAAGGUAGCGUAAUCACUUGUCUUUUAAAUGAAGACCUGUAUGAAAGGCAUCACGAGGGCUUAACUGUCUCCUCCUCCCAGUCAAUAAAAUUGAUCUCCCCGUGCAGAAGCGGGGAUAAUAACAUAAGACGAGAAGACCCUAUGGAGCUUUAAACAUAUUAGGUUUACGUCACUAAUCCCAAGAUAAAGGGUUGAACUAAAUAUACACCUUAAAAAUGUUUUUGGUUGGGGCGACCGCGGGAAAAUAUAUAACUCCCACGACGAGAAAGGACUAACCUUUCAAAACUAAGACCAUCAAGUCAAAGUCACAGAAAUUCUGACAAAUGAUCCGGCUUACCGAUCAACGAAACGAGUUACCCUAGGGAUAACAGCGCAAUCCCCUUUAAGAGCCCUUAUCGACAAGGGGGUUUACGACCUCGAUGUUGGAUCAGGACAUCCUAAUGGUGCAACCGCUAUUAAGGGUUCGUUUGUUCAACGAUUAAAGUCCUACGUGAUCUGAGUUCAGACCGGAGUAAUCCAGGUCAGUUUCUAUCUAUGAGUUACUUUUUCUAGUACGAAAGGACCGAAAAAGUGAGGCCUAUACUUCCAGUACGCCUCGCCCUCAUCUGCUGAAAACAAAUAAAACAGACAAGAGGGUUAAUAAACCUUCAACCAAGAUUUAGGUUAAU